RNAcentral lists this long non-coding RNA (492 nucleotides) under Rattus norvegicus (Norway rat). RNAcentral's name for it is "long non-coding RNA NONRATT028864". The record is from RNAcentral. Lineage: Eukaryota; Metazoa; Chordata; Mammalia; Rodentia; Muridae.
AAGAAGCUGAAUUCAGACGAGCCAAGGUUUGCAAGAUUGCUGCUCUUAUCACUGCCGCUGCUUGCACAGUCAUUCUUGUCAUUGUUGUACCUAUCUGCACAAUGAAGUCCUGAACCUGUGGACUCAGCGUUACAUGCAGCUCAUGACUCCCAACGACUUUCUCUCUAAUUUCAAAAGCUGAUUCCACUGUGGCUACAGUCUGCUGGAAUAGAGACAAAAUCCUGGAUGCUUUUCUACAGUGCCGAAGGUCAUCAUCGGAGAGUACGUACUCCGGAACGACAUCUGCCUUGCUGUUAAGCGCAGGCAUAGCUACCCUCCGAUAUAUUUUCAAAAGUACAAUAUCCUUUUCCACAUAAGGAAUGCCAUGGAUUAUCAGUAAAUAAAAAUUGGACUCUUCCAUUCAGAUGAUGAUUCUUGGUGGGCAUUAAGUUAUACAGAACAGAUCCAAAUAGCUGCUCUUUGAAGGAGCUGACUGACUUGGACACAACAAUU